RNAcentral lists this ribosomal RNA (818 nucleotides) under Periconia byssoides. RNAcentral describes it as "partial large subunit ribosomal RNA". It matches the Rfam family "Eukaryotic large subunit ribosomal RNA", at positions 96 to 932 of the family's 3401-position model. The record is from RNAcentral. Lineage: Eukaryota; Fungi; Ascomycota; Dothideomycetes; Pleosporales; Periconiaceae.
AAGCGGCAACAGCUCAAAUUUGAAAUCUGGCUCUUUCAGGGUCCGAGUUGUAAUUUGCAGAGGGUGCUUUGGUGUUGGCGGCGGUCUAAGUUCCUUGGAACAGGACAUCGCAGAGGGUGAGAAUCCCGUAUGUGGUCGCCUGCCUUCGCCGUGUAAAGCCCCUUCGACGAGUCGAGUUGUUUGGGAAUGCAGCUCUAAAUGGGAGGUAAAUUUCUUCUAAAGCUAAAUACCGGCCAGAGACCGAUAGCGCACAAGUAGAGUGAUCGAAAGAUGAAAAGCACUUUGGAAAGAGAGUCAAACAGCACGUGAAAUUGUUAAAAGGGAAGCGCUUGCAGCCAGACUUGCCUGUAGUUGCUCGCCUGGGCUUUUGCCCGGGUUACUCUUCUGCAGGCAGGCCAGCAUCAGUUUGGGCGGUCGGAUAAAGGUCCCUUUCACGUAUCUCCCUUCGGGGUUAACAUAUAGGGGGGACGUAAUGCGACCAGCCUGGACUGAGGUCCGCGCAUCUGCUAGGAUGCUGGCGUAAUGGCUGUAAGCGGCCCGUCUUGAAACACGGACCAAGGAGUCUAACAUCUAUGCGAGUGUUUGGGUGUCAAGCCCGAGCGCGUAAUGAAAGUGAACGGAGGUGGGAACCCUUCGGGGCGCACCAUCGACCGAUCCUGAUGUCUUCGGAUGGAUUUGAGUAAGAGCAUAGCUGUUGGGACCCGAAAGAUGGUGAACUAUGCUUGAAUAGGGUGAAGCCAGAGGAAACUCUGGUGGAGGCUCGCAGCGGUUCUGACGUGCAAAUCGAUCGUCAAAUUUGGGCAUAGGGGCGAAAGACU